GUCUACCUACGGGACGCAGCAGUGGGGAAUAUUGCACAAUGGGGGAAACCCUGAUGCAGCGACGCCGCGUGAGUGAAGAAGUAUUUCGGUAUGUAAAGCUCUAUCAGCAGGGAAGAAAAAAGACGGUACCUGACUAAGAAGCCCCGGCUAACUACGUGCCAGCAGCCGCGGUAAUACGUAGGGGGCAAGCGUUAUCCGGAUUUACUGGGUGUAAAGGGAGCGUAGACGGUAUGGCAAGUCUGAAGUGAAAGCCCAGGGCUUAACCCUGGAACUGCUUUGGAAACUGUUAGACUAGAGUGCUGGAG
Molecule: ribosomal RNA, 305 nt
Filed under: uncultured bacterium
Lineage: Bacteria
Description: bacterial SSU rRNA
Rfam family: Bacterial small subunit ribosomal RNA
Source: RNAcentral